UGGGGAAUAUUGGACAAUGGGGGCAACCCUGAUCCAGCAAUGCCGCGUGUGUGAAGAAGGCCUUCGGGUUGUAAAGCACUUUAGGCGGGGAAGAAGGUUGGUAUUUUAAGAGAUAACUAACUUGACGGUACCCGCAGAAUAAGCACCGGCUAACUCUGUGCCAGCAGCCGCGGUAAUACAGAGGGUGCAAGCGUUAAUCGGAUUUACUGGGCGUAAAGGGCGCGUAGGUGGUUACUUAAGUGAGAUGUGAAAUCCCCGGGCUUAACCUGGGAACUGCAUCUUAUACUGGGUAACUGGAGUGCAAUAGAGGGUAGUGGAAUUUCCGGUGUAGCGGUGAAAUGCGUAGAUAUCGGAAGGAACACCAGUGGCGAAGGCGGCUACCUGGAUUGACACUGACACUGAGGCGCGAGAGCGUGGGGAGCAAACAGGAUUAGAUACCCCCGUAGUCC
Molecule: ribosomal RNA, 449 nt
Filed under: uncultured bacterium
Lineage: Bacteria
Description: bacterial SSU rRNA
Rfam family: Bacterial small subunit ribosomal RNA
Source: RNAcentral